RNAcentral lists this ribosomal RNA (347 nucleotides) under uncultured fungus. RNAcentral's name for it is "SSU rRNA". It matches the Rfam family "Eukaryotic small subunit ribosomal RNA", at positions 20 to 370 of the family's 1831-position model. The record is from RNAcentral. Lineage: Eukaryota; Fungi.
GUAGUCAUAUGCUUGUCUCAAAGAUUAAGCCAUGCAUGUCUAAGUAUAAGCAAUCUAUACAGUGAAACUGCGAAUGGCUCAUUAAAUCAGUUAUCGUUUAUUUGAUAGUACCUUACUACUUGGAUAACCGUGGUAAUUCUAGAGCUAAUACAUGCUAAAAACCUCGACUUCGGAAGGGGUGUAUUUAUUAGAUAAAAAACCAAUACCCUUCGGGGCUCCUUGGUGAUUCAUGAUAACUUAACGAAUCGCAUGGCCUUGUGCCGGCGAUGGUUCAUUCAAAUUUCUGCCCUAUCAACUUUCGAUGGUAGGAUAGUGGCCUACCAUGGUUUCAACGGGUAACGGGGAAU